AAAAAGGGCUUCUGUCGAGAGUGGCACACGUAAGGUAGCUCGUUUGCUGUUCGUCUGGAAUCAACAUCGAGAGAUCUCAGAAGCAUAAUUUUUUGGUGUCUGGGCAGCUGGUGAUCGUUGGUCCUGGUUGCCCCU
This is a small nuclear RNA of Tursiops truncatus (common bottlenose dolphin), 135 nucleotides long. The record is from Ensembl. Lineage: Eukaryota; Metazoa; Chordata; Mammalia; Artiodactyla; Delphinidae.